UUAAGUUAUUAAGGGCGCACGGUGGAUGCCUUGGCACUAGAAGCCGAUGAAGGACGUUACUAACGACGAUAUGCUUUGGGGAGCUGUAAGUAAGCGUUGAUCCAGAGAUUUCCGAAUGGGGAAACCCAGCAUGAGUUAUGUCAUGUUAUCGAUAUGUGAAUACAUAGCAUAUCAGAAGGCAGACCCGGAGAACUGAAACAUCUUAGUACCCGGAGGAAGAGAAAGAAAAAUCGAUUCCCUGAGUAGCGGCGAGCGAAACGGGAAGAGCCCAAACCAACAAGCUUGCUUGUUGGGGUUGUAGGACACUCUAUACGGAGUUACAAAAGUAUAUAUUAGACGAAUCAUCUGGAAAGUUGAAUCAAAGAAGGUAAUAAUCCUGUAGUCGAAAAUAUAUACUCUCUUGAGUGGAUCCUGAGUACGACGGAGCACGUGAAAUUCCGUCGGAAUCUGGGAGGACCAUCUCCUAAGGCUAAAUACUCUCUAGUGACCGAUAGUGAACCAGUACCGUGAGGGAAAGGUGAAAAGUACCCCGGAAGGGGAGUGAAAGAGAACUUGAAACCGUGUGCUUACAAGUAGUCAGAGCCCGUUAAUGGGUGAUGGCGUGCCUUUUGUAGAAUGAACCGGCGAGUUACGAUUUGAUGCAAGGUUAAGCAGCUAAUGUGGAGCCGUAGCGAAAGCGAGUCUGAAUAGGGCGUUUAGUAUUUGGUCGUAGACCCGAAACCAGGUGAUCUACCCUUGGUCAGGUUGAAGUUCAGGUAACACUGAAUGGAGGACCGAACCGACUUACGUUGAAAAGUGAGCGGAUGAACUGAGGGUAGCGGAGAAAUUCCAAUCGAACUUGGAGAUAGCUGGUUCUCUCCGAAAUAGCUUUAGGGCUAGCCUCAAGUGAUGAUUAUUGGAGGUAGAGCACUGUUUGGACGAGGGGCCCUUCUCGGGUUACCGAAUUCAGACAAACUCCGAAUGCCAAUCAAUUUAACUUGGGAGUCAGAACAUGGGUGAUAAGGUCCGUGUUCGAAAGGGAAACAGCCCAGACCACCAGCUAAGGUCCCAAAAUAUAUGUUAAGUGGAAAAGGAUGUGGCGUUGCCCAGACAACUAGGAUGUUGGCUUAGAAGCAGCCAUCAUUUAAAGAGUGCGUAAUAGCUCACUAGUCGAGUGACACUGCGCCGAAAAUGUACCGGGGCUAAACAUAUUACCGAAGCUGUGGAUUGUCCGUAGGACAAUGGUAGGAGAGCGUUCUAAGGGCGUCGAAGCAUGAUCGCAAGGACAUGUGGAGCGCUUAGAAGUGAGAAUGCCGGUGUGAGUAGCGAAAGACGGGUGAGAAUCCCGUCCACCGAUUGACUAAGGUUUCCAGAGGAAGGCUCGUCCGCUCUGGGUUAGUCGGGUCCUAAGCUGAGGCCGACAGGCGUAGGCGAUGGAUAACAGGUUGAUAUUCCUGUACCACCUAGUAUCGUUUUAAUCGAUGGGGGGACGCAGUAGGAUAGGCGAAGCGUGCUAUUGGAUUGCACGUCCAAGCAGUAAGACUGAGUGUUAGGCAAAUCCGGCACUCAUAAGGUCAAGCUGUGAUGGGGAGAGGAAAUUGUUUCCUCGAGUCGUUGAUUUCACACUGCCAAGAAAAGCCUCUAGAUAGAUAACAGGUGCCCGUACCGCAAACCGACACAGGUAGUCAAGAUGAGAAUUCUAAGGUGAGCGAGCGAACUCUCGUUAAGGAACUCGGCAAAAUGACCCCGUAACUUCGGGAGAAGGGGUGCUCUUUAGGGUUAACGCCCAGAAGAGCCGCAGUGAAUAGGCCCAAGCGACUGUUUAUCAAAAACACAGGUCUCUGCUAAACCGUAAGGUGAUGUAUAGGGGCUGACGCCUGCCCGGUGCUGGAAGGUUAAGAGGAGUAGUUAGCUUCUGCGAAGCUACGAAUCGAAGCCCCAGUAAACGGCGGCCGUAACUAUAACGGUCCUAAGGUAGCGAAAUUCCUUGUCGGGUAAGUUCCGACCCGCACGAAAGGCGUAACGAUUUGGGCACUGUCUCAACGAGAGACUCGGUGAAAUCAUAGUACCUGUGAAGAUGCAGGUUACCCGCGACAGGACGGAAAGACCCCGUGGAGCUUUACUGUAGCCUGAUAUUGAAAUUCGGCACAGCUUGUACAGGAUAGGUAGGAGCCUUUGAAACGUGAGCGCUAGCUUACGUGGAGGCAUUGGUGGGAUACUACCCUAGCUGUGUUGGCUUUCUAACCCGCACCACUUAUCGUGGUGGGAGACAGUGUCAGGUGGGCAGUUUGACUGGGGCGGUCGCCUCCUAAAAGGUAACGGAGGCGCUCAAAGGUUCCCUCAGAAUGGUUGGAAAUCAUUCAUAGAGUGUAAAGGCAUAAGGGAGCUUGACUGCGAGACUUACAAGUCGAGCAGGGUCGAAAGACGGACUUAGUGAUCCGGUGGUUCCGCAUGGAAGGGCCAUCGCUCAACGGAUAAAAGCUACCCCGGGGAUAACAGGCUUAUCUCCCCCAAGAGUUCACAUCGACGGGGAGGUUUGGCACCUCGAUGUCGGCUCAUCGCAUCCUGGGGCUGUAGUCGGUCCCAAGGGUUGGGCUGUUCGCCCAUUAAAGCGGUACGCGAGCUGGGUUCAGAACGUCGUGAGACAGUUCGGUCCCUAUCCGUCGUGGGCGUAGGAAAUUUGAGAGGAGCUGUCCUUAGUACGAGAGGACCGGGAUGGACGCACCGCUGGUGUACCAGUUGUUCUGCCAAGGGCAUAGCUGGGUAGCUAUGUGCGGAAGGGAUAAGUGCUGAAAGCAUCUAAGCAUGAAGCCCCCCUCAAGAUGAGAUUUCCCAUAGCGUAAGCUAGUAAGAUCCCUGAAAGAUGAUCAGGUUGAUAGGUUCGAGGUGGAAGCAUGGUGACAUGUGGAGCUGACGAAUACUAAUAGAUCGAGGACUUAACCAU
RNAcentral lists this ribosomal RNA (2923 nucleotides) under Streptococcus pneumoniae. Its description in RNAcentral is "bacterial LSU rRNA". It matches the Rfam family "Bacterial large subunit ribosomal RNA". The record is from RNAcentral. Lineage: Bacteria; Bacillati; Bacillota; Bacilli; Lactobacillales; Streptococcaceae.